This is a long non-coding RNA of Mauremys mutica (yellowpond turtle), 365 nucleotides long. RefSeq lists it as uncharacterized. The transcript has 4 exons. The record is from RefSeq and is a predicted model, not a curated record. NCBI's taxonomy places the organism in Eukaryota, Metazoa, Chordata, Testudines, Geoemydidae.
GGGGAGUGGCAGAAGCAGCGUGGCUGCAGAGGGCUGUGGAGCAGGGCAGCAGCAGAGCAGUAUCUUCCCUCCUGCUGCAAACUUCAUUUGAAUGUGAAACCUCAUCCCCAUCCCCAGCCCCUCUGCUCUGUAACAAGGGAGAGUAUAGAGAUGGAGUCUGCUUUUGCCCAGAGGAAUGGACAGGACAACAUUGUGAGACAGCUAAUUUCUGUGAAGAUAGUACUUACGUAGUCAACUCUUCAAAAAAGUUUACUUUUACAAGAAUUGUAGUAGACAGAUUUGGCUAUUCUGCAGAAAAAUGUGAAAACAACACUGUAAAUGCUGGUACUCCAAAAGCAAGCCGGAAGUGCAUCAAAAUAGGAAGA